UAGAUACCCUAUUAUAAAAAUUUAAAUUAAUUUACUAAAAAAUUAAUAGUUAAGUUCUUUAAAUUUAAAAAAUUUGGCGGUAUUUUAGUCUUAUUAGAGGAACCUGUUUAUUAAUUGAUAAUCCACGAUUAAUUUUACUUAUUUUAAUUAAUUCAUAUAUCGCUGUCAUGAAUAUAUUAAAAAAUUUAUUUUCUUUUCUUAUUUUUAUAAUUUAUGUUAAGUCAAGAUGUGGUUUAUAAAUAAGAAUAUAAUGGGUUACAAUAAAUUUUAUUUUUGAAUUUUAAAUGAAAAUUAAAAUGAAAUUGGAUUUAAUAGUAAAUUUAUUUAUUUA
RNAcentral lists this ribosomal RNA (331 nucleotides) under Aphis gossypii (cotton aphid). Its description in RNAcentral is "partial 12S ribosomal RNA". Lineage: Eukaryota; Metazoa; Arthropoda; Insecta; Hemiptera; Aphididae. The record is from RNAcentral.